RNAcentral lists this ribosomal RNA (595 nucleotides) under Curvularia lunata. RNAcentral describes it as "eukaryotic LSU rRNA". The stretch from base 222 to 375 matches the Rfam family "5.8S ribosomal RNA". The record is from RNAcentral. Lineage: Eukaryota; Fungi; Ascomycota; Dothideomycetes; Pleosporales; Pleosporaceae.
UCCGAGGGGGUACCUGCGGAGGGAUCAUUACACAAUAAAAUAUGAAAGGCUGUACGCGGCUGUGCUCUCGGGCCAGUUUUGCGGAGGCUGAAUUAUUUAUUACCCUUGUCUUUUGCGCACUUGUUGUUUCCUGGGCGGGUUCGCCCGCCACCAGGACCACAUCAUAAACCUUUUUUAUGCAGUUGCAAUCAGCGUCAGUAUAACAAAUGUAAAUCAUUUACAACUUUCAACAACGGAUCUCUUGGUUCUGGCAUCGAUGAAGAACGCAGCGAAAUGCGAUACGUAGUGUGAAUUGCAGAAUUCAGUGAAUCAUCGAAUCUUUGAACGCACAUUGCGCCCUUUGGUAUUCCAAAGGGCAUGCCUGUUCGAGCGUCAUUUGUACCCUCAAGCUUUGCUUGGUGUUGGGCGUUUUUUGUCUUUGGUUGCCAAAGACUCGCCUUAAAAGGAUUGGCAGCCGGCCUACUGGUUUCGCAGCGCAGCACAUUUUUGCGCUUGCAAUCAGCAAAAGAGGACGGCAAUCCAUCAAGACUCCUUCUCACGUUUGACCUCGGAUCAGGUAGGGAUACCCGCUGAACUUAAGCAUAUCAAUAGGCCG